Molecule: long non-coding RNA, 222 nt
Filed under: Phoenix dactylifera (date palm)
Lineage: Eukaryota; Viridiplantae; Streptophyta; Magnoliopsida; Arecales; Arecaceae
Description: long non-coding RNA (PDAC_LNC011822)
Source: RNAcentral
UUAUACUGGAGUGCUCGGUGAAAUCUAGACCGUACACAAGCUAAGAGUUCGGUUCUCCAAAAUAUUGCUAAUACUAGUAGUUUCCAAGGAUUGGUCGAAAGGACCUGCUCACUGAUUCAAAAUCAUCUUAUCUGUAGGAUUUCGAGAGUUGUGGAUGUUUACUUUAGUACCUCACGGGCUUUAUCUGUAUUAUUCCAGUUUACUCGAAUUUUUACAACGACG